RNAcentral lists this long non-coding RNA (1351 nucleotides) under Salmo salar (Atlantic salmon). RNAcentral's name for it is "lncRNA (ENSSSAG00000114949.1)". Lineage: Eukaryota; Metazoa; Chordata; Actinopteri; Salmoniformes; Salmonidae. The record is from RNAcentral.
AUUCUCACUCUUUUUUGUGCUUACAGUUCCAUAAAAAUACAAUCUUCUCUUUACGUAGAGACUUGUCAAAGCUAUUUACAGUUUGAAAAUACUUGUCUGAAUGUUCUGGCAAUGUGCUUUAAUUCCCUUUCUCACAAUAACAUCUUUAUUUCCUCCUCUCUCUCUUUGUUUAUUCUAUUGUCAGUAAAAAAAAAAAAGGAGCCCUCCAACACUGACAUGUCAUAUUUGGAAAACAAUCAUUUUUAAGAUUGUGGCUGUUCACAUUUAUUUUUUAAAUGUGAUAUUUUGUAUAAUGACAACAGCAACAAUAAUGAAAAGGAAACAAUAAAAUAACCAGUAAAUGGCAAUACAAAUGAAGUGUGUUUAACUGACCUCGCACCAACCAGAUGGUCUCCUGGUUGAAGUAUUGCAAUUGAGACGGCCAGACGUGGCCUCUGUUUGUCUCCUUGGUCAGACCCAGGCCUAUCUCCUACAGGCAGUGGUCUCAUAUGACAGAACACUGGGAAACACUGCUGAUAAGGCAUGCAAACCCUGUGGGUCAACUGCAAUGAACAUCAACAGAUUAUUUUAUAUUUGGCUUCAGAUCAUGUCCAAAUGUAUUUAUUUCCCUCUAGUUUAUCUUCUGCAACAAGGAUGGGAUUGGUGAAACUACUAUUGAAUUUUAGUGACAUUUGAUUGCAAGUUUUACUUGUAGGUUAACUGCAGAUUAAAAUGGAGUUAGCUAUAUCAGACAGAGAUCAGUAUCUUCUGUGGAUGUUCAUGUCAUUUGACUCAGUAUGCAUUUACAGGAUAUCUCCCCAUAAUUAGGAAAGCGUAUCAAAUACAUGUGUUUGAAAGCUAGUCUGUCUGUACAAUGAGUAUGAAAAGGUAAUCAUUUGGGUUUGGCAAUGUGAGUUGAUUGAUCAUCUACACUAGGAUCUCAAUCAUACACCUUGGUGAGAAAUGGAGCUGUGAUGCUGGUUGUCAAUCUAAACAAUGUAUGCAGUCAAAAUAUAACUACAGUCUUGAGAAGAAGUGAACAUGAAUAUAACUUGAAGUGGAGGUUUUAUUUCCCUCCAAAUUCACUGAUUGUCACUAAGGAAAAACAAAAUUCCUUCAUCUAAAAUCAGUGGUUAAGAUCAGCAGAUGACCCUCAACCCUUGCUGACCCAAGCACUUCUCUGAGACAGGACAGAGACAGUAACCUGAUGAGAAACGAGCAAAUGAAGCAAAGAAUAUACAAAGCAACAGCAUGUCUUAAAAUCAGGAUAUGAUCCCAUUCGUGUAACAGCAAUAUUGAUUAAUAAUGUGAAACUAAUACUGUGCAAAAUUUUGAAAAUUGGAAGUAGGUCUACAAAAAGGAGACAUUUUCU